RNAcentral lists this ribosomal RNA (465 nucleotides) under uncultured bacterium. Its description in RNAcentral is "partial 16S ribosomal RNA". It matches the Rfam family "Bacterial small subunit ribosomal RNA", at positions 28 to 507 of the family's 1533-position model. The record is from RNAcentral.
GACGAACGCUGGCGGCGUGCUUAACACAUGCAAGUCGAACGGAAAGGCCCUGCUUGCAGGGUACUCGAGUGGCGAACGGGUGAGUAACACGUGGGUGAUCUGCCCUGCACUUCGGGAUAAGCCUGGGAAACUGGGUCUAAUACCGGAUAGGAGCCAUUUUUAGUGUGAUGGUUGGAAAGUUUUUUCGGUGUAGGAUGAGCUCGCGGCCUAUCAGCUUGUUGGUGGGGUAAUGGCCUACCAAGGCGGCGACGGGUAGCCGGCCUGAGAGGGUGGACGGCCACAUUGGGACUGAGAUACGGCCCAGACUCCUACGGGAGGCAGCAGUGGGGAAUAUUGCACAAUGGGCGCAAGCCUGAUGCAGCGACGCCGCGUGGGGGAUGACGGCCUUCGGGUUGUAAACUCCUUUCGCUAGGGACGAAGCUUUUUGUGACGGUACCUAGAUAAGAAGCACCGUCUAACUACGUG